CCUACGGGGGGCAGCAGUGAGGAAUAUUGGACAAUGGACGAGAGCCUGAACCAGCCAAGCAGCGUGAAGGAUGACUGCCCUCUGGGUUGUAAACUUUUUUUAUAUGGGAAUAAAAUGUUCCACGUGUGGGAUUUUGUAUGUACCAUAUGAAUAAGGAUCGGCUAACUCCGUGCCAGCAGCCGCGGUAAUACGGAGGGUCCGAGCGUUAGCCGGAUUUAUUGGGUUUAAAGGGAGCGUAGGUGGAUUGUUAAGUCAGUUGUGAAAGUUUGCGGCUCAACCGUAGAAUUGCAGUUGAAACUGGCAGUCUUGAGUACAGUAGAGGUGGGCGGAAUUCGUGGUGUAGCGGUGAAAUGCGUAGAUAUCACGAAGAACACCGGUGGCGAAGGCGGCUCACUGGACUGCAACUGACGCUGAGGCUCGAAAGUGUGGGUAGCAAACAGGAUUAGAUACCCGGGUAGUC
This 460-nucleotide ribosomal RNA is filed under the name uncultured bacterium. RNAcentral describes it as "partial 16S ribosomal RNA". It matches the Rfam family "Bacterial small subunit ribosomal RNA", at positions 338 to 795 of the family's 1533-position model. The record is from RNAcentral.